CGGGGGGGGGGGGCCUAUCAUGCAAGUCGAGCGGAUCGAUGGGAGCUUGCUCCCUGAGAUCAGCGGCGGACGGGUGAGUAACACGUGGGUAACCUGCCUGUAAAACUGGGAUAACUCCGGGAAACCGGGGCUAAUACCGGAUAACACCUACCCCCGCAUGGGGGAAGGUUGAAAGGUGGCUUCGGCUAUCACUUACAGAUGGACCCGCGGCGCAUUAGCUAGUUGGUGAGGUAAUGGCUCACCAAGGCGACAAUGCGUACCCAACCUGAGAGGGUGAUCGGCCACACUGGGACUGAAACACGGCCCAAACUCCUACGGGAGGCAGCAGUAGGGAAUCUUCCGCAAUGGACAAAAGUCUGACGGAGCAACGCCCCGUGAGUGAAAAAGGUUUUCGGAUCGUAAAACUCUGUUGUUAGGGAAAAACAAGUGCCGUUCGAAUAGGGCGGCCCCUUGACGGUACCUAACCAAAAAGCCACGGCUAACUACGUGCCAGCAGCCGCGGUAAUACGUAGGUGGCAAGCGUUGUCCGGAAUUAUUGGGCGUAAAGCGCGCGCAGGUGGUUUCUUAAGUCUGAUGUGAAAGCCCACGGCUCAACCGUGGAGGGUCAUUGGAAACUGGGGAACUUGAGUGCAAAAAAGGAAAGUGGAAUUCCAAGUGUAGCGGUGAAAUGCGUAGAUAUUUGGAGGAACACCAGUGGCGAAGGCGACUUUCUGGUCUGUAACUGACACUGAGGCGCGAAAGCGUGGGGAGCAAACAGGAUUAGAUACCCUGGUAGUCCACGCCGUAAACGAUGAGUGCUAAGUGUUAGAGGGUUUCCGCCCUUUAGUGCUGCAGCUAACGCAUAAGCACUCCGCCUGGGGGAGUACGGUCGCAGACUGAAACUCAAAGGAUUGACGAGUCCGGCACAGCGUGCAAGCAUGUGAUAUUUCGAAGCCACGACGAGAAAACU
RNAcentral lists this ribosomal RNA (949 nucleotides) under Rossellomorea marisflavi. Its description in RNAcentral is "bacterial SSU rRNA". It matches the Rfam family "Bacterial small subunit ribosomal RNA", at positions 34 to 971 of the family's 1533-position model. Lineage: Bacteria; Bacillati; Bacillota; Bacilli; Caryophanales; Bacillaceae. The record is from RNAcentral.